UACGGAGGGGGUUAGCGUUGUUCGGAAUUACUGGGCGUAAAGCGCGCGUAGGCGGAUCGGAAAGUUGGGGGUGAAAUCCCGGGGCUCAACCCUGGAAUGGCCUUCAAAACUCCCGGUCUUGAGGUCGAGAGAGGUGAGUGGAAUUCCGAGUGUAGAGGUGAAAUUCGUAGAUAUUCGGAGGAACACCAGUGGCGAAGGCGGCUCACUGGCUCGAUACUGACGCUGAGGUGCGAAAGCGUGGGGAGCAAACAGG
This 253-nucleotide ribosomal RNA is filed under the name uncultured bacterium. Its description in RNAcentral is "partial 16S ribosomal RNA". It matches the Rfam family "Bacterial small subunit ribosomal RNA", at positions 524 to 776 of the family's 1533-position model. The record is from RNAcentral.